UACGUAGGGUCCGAGCGUUGUCCGGAAUUAUUGGGCGUAAAGGGCUCGUAGGCGGUUUGUUGCGUCGGGAGUGAAAACUUACAGCUUAACUGUGAGCGUGCUUCCGAUACGGGCAGACUUGAGGUAUUCAGGGGAGAACGGAAUUCCUGGUGUAGCGGUGAAAUGCGCAGAUAUCAGGAGGAACACCGGUGGCGAAGGCGGUUCUCUGGGAAUAUCCUGGCGCUGAGGAGCGAAAGUGUGGGGAGCGAACAGG
Molecule: ribosomal RNA, 253 nt
Filed under: uncultured bacterium
Lineage: Bacteria
Description: partial 16S ribosomal RNA
Rfam family: Bacterial small subunit ribosomal RNA
Source: RNAcentral